CAUGCGUCAUGCUCUCUCAGCUUCAGCGUCAUAACUUUGUACUUUGUCUUGGUACCUGAUGGUCAGGUGUAAUCCAGGAUGGACGGGCAACCGUUGCCAUGUGAAGGAGAAACCAUCUCUCGCCACUGCGACACCCAAACCAGAGGACACACGACUGGGUAGUAAAGAAACGCACCUCGCCGCUCUAUCAAUUUGUUUACUGGAUCCUUGCGUACCCUGUUAUCGUCUCUGCAGGUCUCUAUGCAAGAGUUAAAUGUCCCUCCCUGUUGUCUAGACUCUGUUUAUGUUGGCAUCGCCAUCGGACUGCUGCUGCUGGUAGCCGGAGUCGCCGUCUGCACUCUGGCUUUAUUCAAGAAGAAACGCUAUUUAAUGUGAGUUCUGGCUACAAUGAUGACUCCUGGUGAUGAUGAUGAUGUUAGUAAUGAGGGCUUUUUUUUUUCCGCUGGCUCCACAGAAAGCCCGACCCUAUGGACUACGGAGUGAUGGAUAACCGAGGCUUUGACUGGAGAGCAGAGCUCCCGUGCCUACAUGAAAGGCCAGGCGGCUGUCCCACAGUUAACCCCAGCAGGAGUGAUGUCCGGGGGCUUUCCAUCAGUGUCUACCCCUGGAGGAGAGAGGUGGAGGUAAAGUGUGUGUGCUCAACCUUUGGGGCUUACCUUAAUUAUCUGUGCAGAAGUCAGUGACGUGAUGUAUGUCUAAUUGUGUCCACAGCAGGGUUCGACCUGGAAAGAUGCCAAGCUGUCCUUCGCCAACCCCCUGUACAAUUACUCUCCCGAUGCUAAUAGCGCCGACUACAAAAGCUCUGACGCAUAAAAACAAUGGACUUUACAUAUUGACAGGGUCAAACAGUGUGUGCGCAUACUUGAUGAGUUUGUCUUAACCUGCUGAGGUGUCAAGUGGGGGGAACAAUGUAAAGAGUGGGAGAAUGUUUGCAUAUUCUGCAAGGAAGUAUUUGAAUGUCAAUGCUGAUAUACUACUGUUUGAAAAACUGAUUCAUUUAGUUAGUUUAGGACUUAAAUUGUGUCCAUUUUAAUAUCUAUACAUUUAGUUUAAACAGUUAAAGGGGUGAGUAGAGAUGUUGCAACAACUGCAAACAAGGCGUUUUAGAGGGUAAAACUUUUUUGAGAAUUAGCAUAUUUCCCAAAAUGUCCAAGAUAUUUUUAGAAGAAGAAAAAAUAUUAAGCAGUAAACCAGAUGAAAUAGACAUUUGAACAAAGUGUUGGUCAUUUUGUACAGCCAGUGUGGCAGUUUAUCAAGACAUGAGUGCUUCAGAACUUGCUGUAAUGCUUGUGAGUGCAUUAUGCAUGGUGAUUAAAAUUGUAUUUAGUGCCGGCAAAACCAGAAAAACAUCGAGUUCAUUGAACAGAAAGACUCCACUGAACACACAUAGCCUCCAAACGGAGUCCUGAUUGCAAUAGUGAUUCUUUUUAAUCCCCACAAGUGCAAAUAAAAUUGGUUUUUAUUUGCUAAUUAAAAUGCAUUACAAGUCAACUUCCUGCAGCUGCUUUGUAUGCGGUGUGAACUGACUCUCGAACUCUCUGUAGAUGACUCGUAAAAAGCAUCGUUAAACCAGUCUGCUAUGAAUUUGACAAGUGUUCAGUCAUGGCUCUUCUCAGCUGUGUUUCAUCAAAGAUGCAAUCGUUAAUGGCUUUCUCACAUUUGACAGUUAACGUGAUCAUUUGAAGAUGUUCUGUACAGUGCUCCCAUCUGAGUAUCUCCACACACACACACAGCUUGAGAACAUUUGCAAAGGUGCCCCAUAAUCUUCUCACAAGCCAAUCAGAGCGGGCUGUUUUAGGAGGCGGGGCUUAAAGAUACAGGCGAGUGUGAGUACAGGUUUAUUCAGACAGACAGUACGAGAAAAAGAUUGUGUUUUUUAACAUUAAAGGAAAAAAGCUUUCCAGCUCGUCUAAACCUCUAACUUUAUAUUUACCACACAGAUAAAAAAGAGUGGUAUCGGUCUUCUCAUGUAAUUGCUGGCAGAAUAAGUGCAUUUCCCACUCUAACCGUUUCUUUAAACUCACGUUAAGCAAUACAAUUACAUCCAGUGUUGCAUAAAUAAUGUCUUCAAUAUAUCAUCUUCUGUUGUUGCUCCUAAUUAGAUUUGUAAGGACAUUUUGCAAACUUGAUGUGUCAUGGUUGAACUGUUGAGGAAAGAAAAGGUCACACAUUACACUGAUAUCUUCCAAUACAUGAAACUUGAUGAAACCAAUAAAAACUUGUGGUGCUUGUGAUUAGCAUU
RNAcentral lists this long non-coding RNA (2242 nucleotides) under Cottoperca gobio. RNAcentral's name for it is "lncRNA (ENSCGOG00000005280.1)". The record is from RNAcentral. Lineage: Eukaryota; Metazoa; Chordata; Actinopteri; Perciformes; Bovichtidae.